GCUUGUGAAGAAACGGGUUGGCCCGUCCCGUCCCGUGAAACCCGCGGGUAACCCGGCUCAGUUCACUAGGCCGCGUGUCACACAAACACAAUGACACGAAAACCACUAAAAACAAAAACCCUCUUCACCAGAAAAAGAAAACAAAAACUCUCUAACCCUGCAACCCAGAAGCAAUCUCUCGAUCUCUAAAUCUCUCAAAAGAUAACCCAUAAUCAGAAAACCCUAACUCAGAAGCAAUCUCUCAAUCUAUUCAGCAGAAACUCAAAGGAUUAAUCUCUCGAACUCAAUCAGAUCUCACCAAGGGGCAUAACUGCAAUAAUGAAGACUAGCAAGGAAGCAGUAAAGAAGAAGCCGGUCAAGCAGUUGGAAAUAAAGAUGAAAAACAAAGAGAAGACUGAUGAAGCAUCCCUGAUAAAUAACAAGUCCAAAACUGAUAAUGCUGAAGCAGCUGAACCAUCUUCUAAUAUAAUUGCAAAGUAGUUUAGUUUUGCAAUUUUGAGUUUUUGAAUCGAAAUCAAAUGAAUUAGAUGAAAUGAUGAAUGUUAAAUUAAGUACUUAGGUUGGGAA
This is a long non-coding RNA of Papaver somniferum (opium poppy), 567 nucleotides long. RefSeq lists it as uncharacterized. Lineage: Eukaryota; Viridiplantae; Streptophyta; Magnoliopsida; Ranunculales; Papaveraceae. The record is from RefSeq and is a predicted model, not a curated record. The transcript has 3 exons.